UACGAAGGGUGCAAGCGUUACUCGGAAUUACUGGGCGUAAAGCGUGCGCAGGCGGUUUUGUAAGUCUGUCGUGAAAUCCCCGGGCUCAACCUGGGAAUGGCGAUGGAGACUGCAAGGCUAGAAUCUGGCAGAGGGGGGUAGAAUUCCACGUGUAGCAGUGAAAUGCGUAGAGAUGUGGAGGAACACCGAUGGCGAAGGCAGCCCCCUGGGUCAAGAUUGACGCUCAUGCACGAAAGCGUGGGGAGCAAACAGG
RNAcentral lists this ribosomal RNA (253 nucleotides) under uncultured bacterium. Its description in RNAcentral is "partial 16S ribosomal RNA". It matches the Rfam family "Bacterial small subunit ribosomal RNA", at positions 524 to 776 of the family's 1533-position model. The record is from RNAcentral.